This 471-nucleotide ribosomal RNA is filed under the name Streptococcus gordonii. Its description in RNAcentral is "bacterial SSU rRNA". It matches the Rfam family "Bacterial small subunit ribosomal RNA", at positions 28 to 474 of the family's 1533-position model. The record is from RNAcentral. Lineage: Bacteria; Bacillati; Bacillota; Bacilli; Lactobacillales; Streptococcaceae.
GACGAACGCUGGCGGCGUGCCUAAUACAUGCAAGUAGAACGCACAGUAUAUACCGUAGCUUGCUACACCAUAGGCUGUGAGUUGCGAACGGGUGAGUAACGCGUAGGUAACCUGCCUGGUAGCGGGGGAUAACUAUUGGAAACGAUAGCUAAUACCGCAUAAUAUUAAUUAUUGCAUGAUAAUUGAUUGAAAGAUGCAACUGCAUCACUACCAGAUGGACCUGCGUUGUAUUAGCUAGUAGGUGAGGUAACGGCUCACCUAGGCGACGAUACAUAGCCGACCUGAGAGGGUGAUCGGCCACACUGGGACUGAGACACGGCCCAGACUCCUACGGGAGGCAGCAGUAGGGAAUCUUCGGCAAUGGACGAAAGUCUGACCGAGCAACGCCGCGUGAGUGAAGAAGGUUUUCGGAUCGUAAAGCUCUGUUGUAAGAGAAGAACGGGUGUGAGAGUGGAAAGUUCACACUGGACG